RNAcentral lists this ribosomal RNA (836 nucleotides) under Virgibacillus sp. Its description in RNAcentral is "bacterial SSU rRNA". It matches the Rfam family "Bacterial small subunit ribosomal RNA", at positions 57 to 875 of the family's 1533-position model. Lineage: Bacteria; Bacillati; Bacillota; Bacilli; Caryophanales; Bacillaceae. The record is from RNAcentral.
GCAGGCAGAUCCUCUUCGGAGGUGACGCCUGUGGAACGAGCGGCGGACGGGUGAGUAACACGUGGGCAACCUGCCUGUAAGAUUGGGAUAACCCCGGGAAACCGGGGCUAAUACCGGAUAAUACUUUUCGUUGCAUAACGAGAAGUUGAAAGGCGGCUUUUAGCUGUCACUUACAGAUGGGCCCGCGGCGCAUUAGCUAGUUGGUAAGGUAACGGCUUACCAAGGCGACGAUGCGUAGCCGACCUGAGAGGGUGAUCGGCCACACUGGGACUGAGACACGGCCCAGACUCCUACGGGAGGCAGCAGUAGGGAAUCUUCCGCAAUGGACGAAAGUCUGACGGAGCAACGCCGCGUGAGUGAUGAAGGUUUUCGGAUCGUAAAACUCUGUUGUCAGGGAAGAACAAGUGCCGUUCGAAUAGGGCGGCACCUUGACGGUACCUGACCAGAAAGCCCCGGCUAACUACGUGCCAGCAGCCGCGGUAAUACGUAGGGGGCAAGCGUUGUCCGGAAUUAUUGGGCGUAAAGCGCGCGCAGGCGGUCCUUUAAGUCUGAUGUGAAAGCCCACGGCUUAACCGUGGAGGGCCAUUGGAAACUGGAGGACUUGAGUACAGAAGAGGAGAGUGGAAUUCCACGUGUAGCGGUGAAAUGCGUAGAGAUGUGGAGGAACACCAGUGGCGAAGGCGACUCUCUGGUCUGUAACUGACGCUGAGGUGCGAAAGCGUGGGGAGCGAACAGGAUUAGAUACCCUGGUAGUCCACGCCGUAAACGAUGAGUGCUAGGUGUUAGGGGGUUUCCGCCCCUUAGUGCUGAAGUUAACGCAUUAAGCACUCCGCCCG